Molecule: long non-coding RNA, 1220 nt
Filed under: Phasianus colchicus (ring-necked pheasant)
Lineage: Eukaryota; Metazoa; Chordata; Aves; Galliformes; Phasianidae
Description: lncRNA (ENSPCLG00000005742.1)
Source: RNAcentral
CUGUGUCAGACCACAUUUUGUUUGACUGCCCCUCUGCUGCCAUCUGCCACAUGGCCACAAAAUGGAACAGGAUAUUGGCAGGAAGGUUCAACCUCUACUGCCGUACCACCAACAUCCACAUCUGACGUUGCAGGCCAACAUAAUAAAAUAGAAGGCAUUACUUUUGGAGCAGCCCUUGUACCUGGGAAACAAACAGCUUAGGCAAAUUGUUGCACUUGUCAAUGAAGUAAAUCUGAAAUGCAUUGUUCCAACAACCAAGAAUGUUAUUCUGUCUCCCUUAGUGCAAAGGAAACCUAAAUCUUCUGAGAGCUGUCUGGAUACACUUCAAAAAUCAACCCAUAUCGUCAAGGAUAGAGGAGCUUUUAUGAGUGUUUCACUUAUGGCAGGCAAUUCACCGAUUACGUACAUGCAGAUCUGUUACAGCACUUAAUUUCUAAUGUCAAGUGAGAUCUGAUGAAUUGUUAGUCUUCGUUUUGUUGAUUUGUUCUACAGUCUCUUCUACUGGCACUUCAAUUUAUGUACAUCUAUAGGCAUGAAAUGUGUUUAAAAGGGGAAUGUUUUCCACUACCUGGAAAGAGACAAGCUCUGGAAGAGAGACUCUGGAUUUUAUCCACUCCAGCUGCCUGGUGGAGACAAGAAAAAUCAAAACAUUUGUACCGUAUCCCUUCUUAAGGGAGCUGCUUAGCUGAUUGAGUCUGGAUUCACCUCCUGUUUCCAGUGCUGGAGCACCUCUUCCAGAUGGCUGAUGAAUCAGAGCUCUUCAGUCUGAGCCAGGAACAGACUUGUGCUGCACCCAUGCCGAGAUUCUGGCGUGCAUUAAUGAUUUUGCCAUGGAAAGCGAGAAAACUUCCUGGAUCAACAAAUGAAGUAUUAAAAAGUAUAUGAAACAAGUCCAUCCACAAGUAUGGAUCAUCAGAGCAUCUGCUUUGCUGCAGAGAUGUUUCUAAUAGCUUCAGUGGAUCUUCAUGCACUUAGAAUACAACAAGCAUGGUGACUUGUAGGCUUGCUAGCUCUCCAGAUCGUUGAGCAACUCUGGUCUACGAUGGAAUGACGACACUUCUGGUCGUUAACUUUUGCCUAAAUGAAAACUCACCCAGUUUUUGCUGGUUUUCUGAUCCACGAAAAAACAUGACCAGCUUUGCCAGAAUUCUUGUAUGUGUUUUUCUUAGGCCCUGGAGAAAUUUAUUUAAAAUAAAUUAAUUGGUUCUUUUUGGUCUGCA